Panicum virgatum (switchgrass) is the source of this 1377-nucleotide long non-coding RNA. RefSeq lists it as uncharacterized. The record is from RefSeq and is a predicted model, not a curated record. The transcript is spliced from 3 exons. NCBI's taxonomy places the organism in Eukaryota, Viridiplantae, Streptophyta, Magnoliopsida, Poales, Poaceae.
GGAGGCCGCUCCCUCGAGGCCUGCUCCCUGUCACCCCCAUCCCAGCGAGCGGCAGCCCCAUCUCCGGCAAACGGCGGCGCCCAUCUCCGGUGAGCGGCGGCGCCCGCAUGCUCUCUGACCAGGCCCCGCCAAGGUCCCGCGAGGGCUGGGCGUGCGCAGGAGGAGCGCCGCGGAUGUGGCCGCCCUCCCACCCUGCCUAGGGUUUCGGGUGCCGGCAAGAACGGGCCGAAUCCACCUGCCCUGAGGGAGAGCCAUGAUCCCCUUCGAAGUUCCUGCUACAUAAGAUCUAAAAUCCCUAAGCUUCUGCUGUUAAUUUUUUUUUGAGGAUUGAAGUGGGGAGAGUUCGUGUGCCUUGCAUAUGCUCACUGAUGCAUAUGCUUUUGUUUUGUUACUCGGUCGGGUCCAUCCGGAUGCAUCAUUUGUACAAUUUGGAGAGGCUACAGGAAGACUUGGCAAGCCGGGUGAAAUGGGGCCCUAGGCAGCAAACAAAGAUUAGCCACUUUGAUAUGAGUAGAGGAAGGGAAAGAAAGGUGGAGGAUGAUAUAGCUUUGUCUGCUGCUUUCUCUGAGCUGAAGGAUGAGAAGAAGCUAUUUUUAUUUGUUGAUGUGGUUGAGAAGGAAACUGAAUCAGUGGUGACAUUAGUGGAAUCAAUCAAUGAUUUAGUUGGUACACAUGGUAGUGGAGGUCUACAAUGUAUUGCUAAUGUUGGGCCAGCUAUAGAAUCAAGCAAUGUGGGCACUAGUGGUGUUGUUGGGGCAGCUAUAGAAUCAAGUGCAGAGGAAGACAUAGAACAUGUGGUGGACUGGGAUAGAUUGGAAAUUACUCCAAUUCCGGAAGAUAGAAUAAGUGCUUGUACCAGGUCCAGUGUAAGAGCUGCCUAGCAUUUGCCACAGAUCUACCUCACCGAAAUGCCCUUUAAACGGAACUAAGAAGAGGAAGAGCCGUGCAAAAAAAGGGAAUGUUGGGAGGCCCUCUGGCUGUGGCAGCAAGAGGAAGAAGGUUGCAUCACAAGACGAUCCUACACAAGCAGCGACAAGUAAUGCUGCUGAACCGCAAGCUGCUGGACAUAUUUUUCCUAUGACCAACAGUCCUGGUCCUGUCACAAGGAGCCAAACUGCUUUAAGCUUGGAAGUCCAAACAAGUCCUUGUUGUGCCAACAUACAGAGAACUACUAUCACCACAAGUCCUGGUCCUAUGACUCGAAGGUCAGAUAUUUAACAAAUUAAUAAGAUUAAAAUUUCAUGUCUAUGAGCUGUCAUCUCUACAUUGCAAAUUCUCUACUGUUUUCAGGCAGCUGGCAUUAACUAUGGAAGGUGAAGCCACUACUACUGCGACCACUCCUACUACUACUACUACUACGACCUCUCCCACUACUGC